GAUGAACGCUGACAGAAUGCUUAACACAUGCAAGUCUACUUGAUUCUACUUCGGUAGUUGAUGGUGGCGGACGGGUGAGUAACGCGUAAAGAAUCUGCCCUUUAGUUUGGGAUAACCUUUGGAAUCGAAGGCUAAUACCGGAUAUUAUGGAGACGUCGCAUGGCGACUCCAUGAAAGCUAUAUGCGCUAGAGGAGGACUUUGCGUCCCAUUAGUUAGUUGGUGAGGUAAUGGCUCACCAAGACCGCGAUGGGUAGCGGGCAUGAGAGGGUGAUCGGCCACAAGGGAACUGAGACACGGUCCUUACUCCUACGGGAGGCAGCAGUGGGGAAUAUUGGACAAUGGGCCACAAGCCUGAUCCAGCAAUUCUGUGUGCACGAUGAAGGUCUUCGGAUUGUAAAGUGCUUUCAGUAGGGAAGAAAAAAAUGACGGUACCUACAGAAGAAGCGACGGCUAAAUAUGUGCCAGCAGCCGCCGUAA
This 478-nucleotide ribosomal RNA is filed under the name uncultured bacterium. Its description in RNAcentral is "partial 16S ribosomal RNA". It matches the Rfam family "Bacterial small subunit ribosomal RNA", at positions 28 to 523 of the family's 1533-position model. The record is from RNAcentral.